GUUUCUGCCAAAUGUAGAUUCUAUUAGUGUAAUUAAAUAGCUAUUUAACCUCUACUUGCAUGUUACAUUUCACUGAAACAUGUUGACUAUAUAUAUCCACAUGAGAACUUUGAUUAGCCACCAUUGUGUUUUAAGGGAUUAAAACACUUAUCUCACAACAUCUUUGGGAGGAUCAAAUGAAAUAAUAAAUGUGAAAGUGCUUUGUCAACCAAAGACUGCUAUAAAAAUAAAUGUAGACCGAGGUUGAGGCUAUCGUUGCAGAAUUGUAAUCUCUGCACUUGAAAUUGAUGUGGAUAUGCAAGCAAAUGAAAGGAAAAUGAAAGAUUUUUUCCCCUGGAAGAGACCCCUCUUCGCCCAUCACUACAUGUCAGACUGAAGAAACAAGGAUGCUGAAUCCCCAGCUUAAUGCCAUCCCCUCUCGAACUAGGAACUCAUUUGUUCAAACUAAGAUUUCAAGAUGAAACUCCAAUCAGCAGUCCCCGUGAAAGUAUCAUUUCAAUCCAAAGAUUUUUUGAAGGAUGGACUGAUUAAAUAAUGAGUUUAGAAAUAUAAAUAAAGAAGUAGGACAGCAAAGUAAAAAAAUAAUCCCCUGGGAUUUAGAAUUGAUACAUUUAGGGCCUAAAAAUAAGAAAAAAAAAAUUA
Molecule: long non-coding RNA, 642 nt
Filed under: Equus caballus (horse)
Lineage: Eukaryota; Metazoa; Chordata; Mammalia; Perissodactyla; Equidae
Description: lncRNA (ENSECAG00000046138.1)
Source: RNAcentral